GAAACAGGCUCACCUAAAUUUCCACCAUACUGAAAAUUUGUGUAAAGAAUUGAAUUUUCUAGGCAAUGGGUCAAUAAUUUUACUGAUGAUUGUCUAAUGUCUAUAUGUGAGAAGGCACUUGUCAUUCAAGAACCAUUUACUAGUUCAGAAGAUAAAUUGUGUGACUGAAGUAAAUCAAGGUGAAUCAGCCUGAACCAAUACAUGCAGUGAUAUUAUCAGAUUAUUGUUGAUUACUUGCUCAAAUGCGAAGGUAACCACCUCUUUCUUCACCCCCAUGGGUUCUGUAAAGAAAUGACUUCCUGUUGAAGGACCAGCUUCUUCUUGUAGCCCACCUCCUCCUCCAAGCAGCUAAACGUACGUAAAGUGAAGGGAAAAGGAAACACAGCAGCAGGAGAAUUAACAUUACCAGACAGAGGAACAUUACAUUACGGAAUCCAUCUUGCAACUCUGGGUCCUUUUGCCCCGUCCAUGGAACUCCUCCCACAUUCAUGCCAAACACUCCAGUGAUUACAGACAGUGGAAGGAACACAAUUGAAAGGAAAGAAAGAUAAUACAGUUUCCUAUUUAUUUGCUCAGAUUGCCAGCUAUCCAGACUGGCCUGAAUUGCUGUGAUACGAUUUGCAAUAAACCCUGCAUUCUCUUUUAGCCUUCUCAGCUGUCCAAUUAACUCUUCUAGAGAAUUAAUGUCUUCAAUGGAAAACCAUCUUUUUGACGAGCAUUUUUCUUUUACUCGUGGAAAUACUUGCUCCCCAUAUGCAAUCACCUGCAGUAGACGUUGUAGAUUAAGAUGCAUUUUAGGGAAUCUUCUAUCGUCAAGCAUUUGUUUCUUCAAAGUAUAACCACCUUUGUCGAGUUCAAUCUCCACAGAAUCUAGCUCU
This 878-nucleotide unclassified non-coding RNA is filed under the name Hevea brasiliensis (rubber tree). Lineage: Eukaryota; Viridiplantae; Streptophyta; Magnoliopsida; Malpighiales; Euphorbiaceae. The record is from RNAcentral.